UACGUAGGGGGCUAGCGUUGUCCGGAUUUAUUGGGCGUAAAGAGCGUGUAGGCGGCCAGGUAGGUCCGUUGUGAAAACUCGAGGCUCAACCUCGAGACGUCGGCGGAAACCCUCUGGCUAGAGUCCGGAAGAGGAGAGUGGAAUUCCUGGUGUAGCGGUGAAAUGCGCAGAUAUCAGAAAGAACACCCGUGGCGAAGGCGGCUCUCUGGGACGGUACUGACGCUGAGACGCGAAAGCGUGGGGAGCAAACAGG
Molecule: ribosomal RNA, 253 nt
Filed under: uncultured bacterium
Lineage: Bacteria
Description: partial 16S ribosomal RNA
Rfam family: Bacterial small subunit ribosomal RNA
Source: RNAcentral